Long non-coding RNA from Cryptomeria japonica (Japanese cedar), 2332 nucleotides. RefSeq lists it as uncharacterized. The transcript is spliced from 7 exons. Lineage: Eukaryota; Viridiplantae; Streptophyta; Pinopsida; Cupressales; Cupressaceae. The record is from RefSeq and is a predicted model, not a curated record.
CAUGGAUCCAUCACAUAACACAGACAGGGAUGUAGGUCGCGACACUUCUACCGAGCAGCUAAACCUCAUUGUAAUUGUACAAAUUAGAUAGAAGCAAACUGUUACAUUAUUAUGGUCUUUUCUUGAGUGUUUUGGAGUAAUUUUGAUAGUGUUAAUAAUAUUCUUGUCACAGACAGAUGUUCGGGGAAAGGGAAAUGGAGUUGCAGUACUUGAGCACCUCUCUAGGGAUGUGGACUCAACGAGAUUAAGCGAUGAUGACAUCGCAAAUUCCAAAAACCCUAUAGAAUUGAUAAAAAAGUCUAUUAGAAAAAUUAUUAGAGAGAUUGUUGCUUUGACAUUUGUGGAGCCUCAGAAUGAUGAGAUACAAGAGAGGGUGCAAAACUUGAUGCGGACAACAUAAAACUUUCAUUACAUAAAAGCUUUAAUUAUAACAAAAGUUAAAUAAUGCUAUAUAUUUUAUACUCUUUUAUGUCAUUAACUAAAAUAUGUACGUGUUGUUUUUAUAGAAAUUUAUGUGUCCUCAUCAACCUAGUGGCCAUGAUCAAGGUAUUGUAGGUAGUUUAGGUGAUGACGAUUUUCUUGGCUUAUCACUUUCUUGGAUUAUCACUUUGAGUACCCAAAACACAUCAUACUUGAUACUGUUAAUGUUCAUAAUAAAGGUUCAUCCUUGUUUACAAUUCUUGCAGUUUUUAUAUAUUUAAUGUUUUAUAUAUUUAAUGUAUUAUUCUUCAGGUGCUGUCAAUGUUCCUGUGCAAAUGCCGCCUCAUCAGAGGUUAGCCCCACCUGUAUUGCUGACUGCAAUGUUGGCAACACGCAACAUGCAAACAUUCUCUACUGUACGUCGUGUUGGCCCGCCCAUUGUUGGUAGAUCACUCUUUUGCUCUAUCUUCUGUUAUGUGUUUAUUUCCCUUGAAGCGAUCUUUUUUGGGGAUAUUUCAUAGUGGAUUCAUUUUCUACAACAAGAGAUGCACAUGAGGAUGCGCCAGAGGCGAUUACUGCUGAUAACAUACCAUCAUUUCCUGGAUCUUCUCAUAUUGCUAGUACGAGAACUUUACAAGCCACAUUGGUGGUUAGCGACAAAGAAUUUAUUCCAUUAAAGAUACAGAAGGUUCCAGGAAAUGAUAUUUUUUAUAAAAAUCUUAAUGACAUUGUAUUGCAGAUAUUUGGGCCCACCAUACGUAAAAGGUGGAAUGACCAAGAAAAAAGGUUAAAAGAUGAAUUGACAAACCAUAUGGUUGAGUUGUUUGGAAAUGACACAUUCGACAAAACCAAGCUCCUUGAAAAAGUUGACACAUAUCGAAAGUAUGUGAGAGACCAAUACAAGAACCAUUUAGAGAAGAACGUAAAGUACGAGCGUCCCCCCAUGAUUCCAAAGAGGGAGUGGAAGGACCUGAUUUUGGAUGCCAAGGAGAGAAUUGAAAGGAAAAGAGGAAAUACACCUACAAACGCCAAAAGAAGACCAAGUGACAAGUCAAAGGCAACCAAGGCAAGACAAGAAAAGCACGAGCAACACAAACUUGGUUCUGGUGGUUAUAUGAAACUUGGCGCAAGAAUUGUAAGUAUCAGUAAAUGAAAUAUCACAUCAAAAUAUUUAUAAAUUGCAAAUGAUUUUUUUUUUGAUCAAACAAUGCAAGGAAAAUCCACGAUAGCAAGCAAAAAUGCAGGGCUCUAAAUUCAAUAGAGCACCCACAAAAGAUGACAAGAGAAUUGCCUACCAGCAAGUCUAUACAGUCCUAGCUGAACGACUAUGAGAAUUGAGUGGGCAAACACAAGAUUCUAGUGCAUCCGUCACACAAGUAAAUAAGCUAAAUGAAAAUUGUUUCAAAUUGAAUACUUUACCAAUAAUCUAAUUGAUGUUGAGUUCCAACAUAAAGUGACUAUAUUUGUUUUAAAUAAGCAAGCAAUGAUAACAAUGUGCAUGACAUUGGAAUGCAACCUGCUAAUCGUGAAACAUGACUUGCACAUGAAGGUCCGGAUGUGCAUCCUAGUAGUGAAGAGCAUGUAGUCGGUGGUGACCAAGUGGAGCAUGAUUCAGGUACACAACAUCAAGAACGUGAUGUUCCCCAAUCAGAGGAUCUAGAGGGUGUUCAACAUGUUGAGGUUGAGGCUAGACAAAAUGAUGUGGCCCCAUCAGACGACCUCCCUUCGCUUCAGUGUCCUUGUCCUCAGUAUAGGACUAGGCAUACAUCGAGAUCACGAGCAGAGGGCAGAACAACUGAAGAGGGGUGAAAUGAUGACGAAAACGAUGGUCCACUUAUUCUUUACAUAGCUUCAAAGAAAAAACAAAAAAACAAAUAAUUGUAAUCUACCUUAUUUGAUAAUGACUGAUUUU